Molecule: ribosomal RNA, 86 nt
Filed under: Acinetobacter baumannii
Lineage: Bacteria; Pseudomonadati; Pseudomonadota; Gammaproteobacteria; Moraxellales; Moraxellaceae
Description: partial 16S ribosomal RNA
Rfam family: Bacterial small subunit ribosomal RNA
Source: RNAcentral
UAACUGAAGAGUUUGAUCAUGGCUCAGAUUGAACGCUGGCGGCAGGCUUAACACAUGCAAGUCGAGCGGGGAAGGUAGCUUGCUAC